GUUAAGUUUUAUUCUUGCUUUUUCAUUCAGUUUAUUUUUGUUCUAUAUGUAAGUUUUUGCGUGAUUUGUUUUAUAUAACUCUAGAUGGGUUAUUUAUUUUUUAUUAUUCUCAUUAGUUGUUAUUGGUUGAUCAAGUAUUCUUGUAUUUAGCAAUAUAUUUUAGUUUCGGUUAAAUUUUGUGCCAGCAGCCGCGGUUAUACCUUGGAAGUGUCUGAAUGUGUUUGGCUUAUAUAGUUAUAUUAUUUACUUUGAUUGAUUUUGUUUUGGUGUUUGUUAGGUGAAAUUUUUUUUACUGUUAAUUUUCUUUUAUUUAUUUGGAGGCUAUGAAAUUCUUUUUGUAAACUAGGAUUAGAUACCCUAUUAUUUUAGAAUGUUAAUUAUUUAUAUGCUUGAGUAGUAUUAGUUAUGUUCUUGAAACUUAAAGAAUUUGGCGGUAUCUCAUUCCGUCCAGAGGAAUCUGUCUCGUUAUCGAUAGUCCACGUUGGACCUUACUUGGAUUGCGUUGGUUUGUAUACCGCCGUUUAUUGAUUAUCUUUUUAGAGUUUUUAAUUUUCUGGUUUCUUUAUUUUGAUUUAUUUCAGGUCAAGGUGCAGCUUGUUUCUAAGUGGAAUGAUGGAUUACAUUGUCAUUUGUUUAUGGAUUGUUGAUUUCAAUAUUGGCAUGAAAUUGGAUUUGGUUGUAAUAAUUUGUAGAUUAUUAUUUUGAUAAUUGGUUCUGAGAUAUGCACACAUCGCCCGUCGCUCUCGUUUAUUGUUAAUGAGAUAAGUCGUAACAAAGUGGUUGUACCGGAAGGUGCAGCUGGAUUGAU
This 808-nucleotide non-coding RNA is filed under the name Mirocapritermes sp. 2 TB-2017. The record is from RNAcentral. Lineage: Eukaryota; Metazoa; Arthropoda; Insecta; Blattodea; Termitidae.